This 428-nucleotide ribosomal RNA is filed under the name uncultured Sphingobacteriales bacterium. Its description in RNAcentral is "bacterial SSU rRNA". It matches the Rfam family "Bacterial small subunit ribosomal RNA", at positions 950 to 1382 of the family's 1533-position model. Lineage: Bacteria; Pseudomonadati; Bacteroidota; Sphingobacteriia; Sphingobacteriales. The record is from RNAcentral.
AUACGACGACGGAACCGUUAACCUCGGGCGUCAAAAUGUAUGUUGACGUAUUCUGAAAGGGAUACUUCUUCGGACAAUAUACAAGGUGCUGCAUGGUGUCGUCAGCUCGUGCCGUGAGGUGUCGGGUUAAGUCCCAUAACGAGCGCAACCCCUAUCAUUAGUUGCCAUCAGGUCAAGCUGGGGACUCUAAUGAAACUGCCUACGCAAGUAGUGAGGAAGGUGGGGAUGACGUCAAAUCAGCACGGCCCUUACGUCCAGGGCUACACACGUGCUACAAUGGCCGGUACAAAGGGCAGCUACCUGGUGACAGGAUGCUAAUCUCAAAAGCCGGUCUCAGUUCGGAUCGGAGUCUGCAACCCGACUUCAUGAAGUCGGAAUCGCUAGUAAUCGCGGAUCAGAACGCCGCGGUGAAUACGUUCUCGGGGUUU